This 830-nucleotide ribosomal RNA is filed under the name uncultured crenarchaeote. RNAcentral's name for it is "bacterial SSU rRNA". It matches the Rfam family "Archaeal small subunit ribosomal RNA", at positions 48 to 859 of the family's 1478-position model. Lineage: Archaea; Thermoproteati; Thermoproteota. The record is from RNAcentral.
GACAUGCUAGUCGCGUGCUUCAGCCAAAACGAGGCACGGCAAACAGCUCAGUAACACGUGGCUAAUCUGCCCUUAGGACGAGAAUACCCCCGGGAAACUGGGGCUAAUUCUCGAUAGGUGAAGAACUCUGGAAUGAGUCUUUGCCUAAAAGAGCUUACGUUAUGCUCGUAAGUUUCGCCUAAGGAUGAGGCCGCGACCGAUCAGGUUGUUGGUGAGGUAAUGGCUCACCAAGCCUUUUACCGGUGCGGGCCGUGAGAGCGGGAGCCCGGAGAUGGGCACUGAGACAAGGGCCCAGGCCCUACGGGGCGCAGCAGUCGCGAAAACUUUGCAAUACACGAAAGUGUGACAGGGCUAUCCCGAGUGCCAUCCGCUGAGGAAGGCUUUUACCCAGUCUAGAACGCUGGGGGAAUAAGGAGAGGGCAAGUCUGGUGUCAGCCGCCGCGGUAAUACCAGCUCUCCGAGUGGUGUGGAUGUUUAUUGGGCCUAAAGCAUCCGUAGCUGGCUAAGUUAGUCCUUUGUUAAAUCCACCGAAUUAAUCGUUGGAUCGCGGGGGAUACUGCUUGGCUAGGGGACGAGAGAGGCAGACGGUAUUUUUGGGGUAGGGGUGAAAUCCUAUAAUCCCAGGAAGACCACCAGUGGCGAAGGCUGUCUGCUAGAACGCGCCCGACGGUGAGGGAUGAAAGCUGGGGGAGCGAACCGGAUUAGAUACCCGGGUAGUCCCAGCUGUAAACGAUGCAGCUAGGUGUUUGGACGGCCACGUGCCGUUCUAGUGCCGCAGGAAGCUGUUAAGCCUGCCGCCUGGGGAGUACGAUCGCAAGAUUGAAACUUAA